GUGGGGAAUAUUGGGCAAUGGGCGCAAGCCUGACCCAGCAACGCCGCGUGAGGGAAGAAGGCUUUCGGGUUGUAAACCUCUGUCCUUGGUGACGAAACAAAUGACGGUAGCCAAGGAGGAAGCCCCGGCUAACUACGUGCCAGCAGCCGCGGUAAUACGUAGGGGGCGAGCGUUGUCCGGAAUUACUGGGCGUAAAGGGUGCGUAGGUGGCCUUUUAAGUUGGAUGUGAAAUACCCGGGCUUAACUUGGGGGGUGCAUCCAAAACUGGGAGGCUAGGGUGCAGGGGAGGAAAGCGGAAUUCCUAGCGUAGCGGUGAAAUGCGUAGAUAUUAGGAGGAACACCAGUGGCGAAGGCGGCUUUCUGGACUGUAACUGACACUGAGGCACGAAAGCGUGGGGAGCAAACAGGAUUAGAUACCCGGGUAGUCC
This 428-nucleotide ribosomal RNA is filed under the name uncultured bacterium. RNAcentral's name for it is "partial 16S ribosomal RNA". It matches the Rfam family "Bacterial small subunit ribosomal RNA", at positions 354 to 796 of the family's 1533-position model. The record is from RNAcentral.